This 177-nucleotide ribosomal RNA is filed under the name Pseudoclavibacter sp. VKM Ac-2867. RNAcentral's name for it is "partial 16S ribosomal RNA". It matches the Rfam family "Bacterial small subunit ribosomal RNA", at positions 1 to 176 of the family's 1533-position model. Lineage: Bacteria; Bacillati; Actinomycetota; Actinomycetes; Micrococcales; Microbacteriaceae. The record is from RNAcentral.
UUUACGGAGAGUUUGAUCCUGGCUCAGGACGAACGCUGGCGGCGUGCUUAACACAUGCAAGUCGAACGAUGAAGCCCAGCUUGCUGGGUGGAUUAGUGGCGAACGGGUGAGUAACACGUGAGCAACGUGCCCAUAACUCUGGGAUAACCUCCGGAAACGGUGGCUAAUACUGGAUAU